Molecule: ribosomal RNA, 253 nt
Filed under: uncultured bacterium
Lineage: Bacteria
Description: partial 16S ribosomal RNA
Rfam family: Bacterial small subunit ribosomal RNA
Source: RNAcentral
UACGUAGGGUGCAAGCGUUAAUCGGAAUUACUGGGCGUAAAGCGUGCGCAGGCGGUUUUGUAAGUUUGUCGUGAAAUCCCCGGGCUUAACCUGGGAAUUGCGAUGAAGACUGCAAGGCUAGAAUCUGGCAGAGGGGGGUAGAAUUCCACGUGUAGCAGUGAAAUGCGUAGAGAUGUGGAGGAACACCGAUGGCGAAGGCAGCCCCCUGGGUCAAGAUUGACGCUCAUGCACGAAAGCGUGGGGAGCGAACAGG